AACGAACGCUGGCGGCAUGCCUAACACAUGCCAGUCGAACGAGACCUUCGGGUCUAGUGGCGCACGGGUGCGUAACGCGUGGUAACCUGCCCUUAGGUUCGGAAUAACUCCCCGAAAGGGGUGCUAAUACCGGAUAAUGUCUUCGGACCAAAGAUUUAUCGCCUUUGGAUGGGCCCGCGUUGGAUUAGCUGGUUGGUAGGGUAAAAGCCUACCAUGGCGACGAUCCAUAGCUGGUGUGAGAGGAUGAUCAGCCACACUGGGAAUGAGACACGGCCCAGACUCCUACGGAAGGCAGCAGUAGGGAAUACUAGACGCGGAGGGAAGGCCUGAUAAAGCCAUGCCGCGUAAGUGAUGAAGGCCUUAGGGUUGUAAAGCUCUUUUACCCGGGGUGAUAAUGACAGUACCGGGAGAAUAAGCUCCGGCUAACUACGUG
Molecule: ribosomal RNA, 433 nt
Filed under: uncultured bacterium
Lineage: Bacteria
Description: partial 16S ribosomal RNA
Rfam family: Bacterial small subunit ribosomal RNA
Source: RNAcentral